AACCAUGUGAUCUACCCAUGUCCAGGUUGAAGGUGCGGUAAAACGCACUGGAGGACCGAACCCACGUACGUUGAAAAGUGCGGGGAUGAGGUGUGGGUAGCGGAGAAAUUCCAAACGAACUUGGAGAUAGCUGGUUCUCUCCGAAAUAGCUUUAGGGCUAGCCUCGGAAUUGAGAAUGAUGGAGGUAGAGCACUGUUUGGACUAGGGGCCCAUCUCGGGUUACCGAAUUCAGAUAAACUCCGAAUGCCAUUCAUUUAUAUCCGGGAGUCAGACUGCGAGUGAUAAGAU
Molecule: ribosomal RNA, 288 nt
Filed under: Enterococcus faecalis
Lineage: Bacteria; Bacillati; Bacillota; Bacilli; Lactobacillales; Enterococcaceae
Description: partial 23S ribosomal RNA
Rfam family: Bacterial large subunit ribosomal RNA
Source: RNAcentral